This 563-nucleotide long non-coding RNA is filed under the name Androctonus crassicauda. The record is from RNAcentral. Lineage: Eukaryota; Metazoa; Arthropoda; Arachnida; Scorpiones; Buthidae.
AUUUUUGUUUUUAUUUUGUGCAAUCUUGGUGAACUUUUAUUAUUCAAAAAAAAAGAUUAAUAAAAGUGCUGAUAGAAGAUUUUUAUAUAUCAGAAACACUUGACAGUUUUUAUAAUUUAAUUUCUGCAUUAUAUGCUAUAUGUUGUUCUUAAAUUUGUAACCAUUAUGUGCAGGGCUGGCUCUCUGGAGUUCAGUUGAGAUGAAGUACUGGUCUGUGUAACACUGCAUUGUCUCACUAGAAGUAUUUAUCAAAAUGCAAUUGGUCACAGCUACACAAUGUAUAAUUUUGAAAACAGUUUGAUCAAUGUGAUGUCCCUAGUUACAAUGCUCUGUUGCAGUGGUUGUCAAAAUGGCAUCAAGAACGAAGUAUUAAAGGACAAUAAGUCAUCUAGAUGUUAUUGUUUAAUAUGUAUACCAGAGAAUAUUAUUCAUGUAAGAGAUACUGGUAUAUGGAAUCUACAGAGAUCCGACGGCAAAUUCUUGCACUUCAUCUAUUGCAGGGGUGUCAAACUGGUAACCCUUGAUGUGAUUUUUUGUGGCCCCCAACACUCUUAACUAAAAUG